Molecule: long non-coding RNA, 2040 nt
Organism: Ruditapes philippinarum (Manila clam)
Lineage: Eukaryota; Metazoa; Mollusca; Bivalvia; Venerida; Veneridae
Exons: 3
Source: RefSeq, a predicted model, not a curated record
GAUUAUUAUAGAUGAGGAUGUUGGCAUACAGGAAGGGUUUACACGUCUAGCACCAGGGGCUGGUAUUGCGGUGGAACGAGCAUGGUUGUAUCGUGUGGCAUCAGGGGUAGGAGUAAUAACAUCAAGUUCACCUGGAGAAUAUGAAAUCAUAAAACGUAUGAUAGAUGGGUUUUAUGAACCGUGGGAACUUGGCAUUAAAGGAGGGACAGAAAAAUUCGAGGGAACAGUUCUCUAUGAAUCGUUGAAGUGUUACGCUCAGCAUUGUUUUCAUAUGGGUGUAUCAUCAUUCAGACGAGCAUGGAACCAGAAAAUGGCAACUAGUAGAAGAACCUUACAACGAUUAAAAUUGAGAAAAAACAUCCAAGCUUAGUGAAAUUGAUGUCACAGUUAGACAAUUGUGAUGCCAUAGUAACUGCUAUACAAGGACAACGUCACUGUUAAGGGAAAGAUGGUGUCACUGUUACACAAGGAUAGUGUCACUGUUAUACAAGAAUGGUGUCACUGUUACACAAGGAUAGUGUCACUGUUACACAAGGAAGGUGUCACUGUUACACAAGGAUGGUGUCACUGUUAUACAAGGAUGGUGUCACUGUUAUACAAGGAUGGUGUCACUGUUAUACAAGAAUGGUGUCACUGUUACACAAUGAUGGUGUCACUGUUAUACAAGAAUGGUGUCACUGUUAUACAAUGAUGGUGUCACUGUUAUACAAGAAUGAUGUCACUGUUAUACAAUGAUGGUGUCACUGUUACACAAGAAUGAUGUCACUGUUAUACAAGGAAGGUGUCACUGUUACACAAGGAUGAUGUCACUGUUAUACAAGGAUGGUGUUACUGUUGUAUAAAGAUGAUGUUACUGUUAUAUAAUAGUAGCUGUAACAAUAACAAGUGACAUUAGUUUUAUAAUACAGGGGUUUUGUAUAACAGUGAUUUCUACAACAAUAUAAAGUUUUUUUAUUUGAAGACUGACAUAGUAACUUAUAUCAUUACGAUAAUCCUUACUGUACAAACCAUAUUGUGACUUGAUUACACAGACAGGAGUUUUAUUCUGUUGUGAAUUUGUAAGAACGUAAACCUUGUUGUAUUUCUAUUGACAUGCAUGGAUACAGAGUUGUAUUUUUAAAGGGAAACACAGACAUGACCCCAAUUUUUGUGACCCCUCUUAUAAAAACCCCAAAAUUUAAUAUGCUCCUGUGUUUAUAUUGUAAAUUAGUUGCCAUAGAUAGUUAUGUUUAUUCGUUCAGUUAGUUAGCAUACAAUAAAGUUUUGAAAACAGUACUUGUUGAUGUGUUAAUAAUUUUAAAAUGAUUUAUGAAAUAUAUGAACAUUAUCGCAUGUUUUUAACCAAGCCUAUGUUAUAUCAUGUUUAGUUUUGUUUUAAAGGUUGCAAUACUAUAUUAUAUAAUAAACUGUAUUAUUUAGAUAGUUUACAAAUGACUUUCUAAUUAUGAUAAUAUCUUUCUGUUACAGGUUUAGAACAGUUUGUUAUGGUUGAAGAUCCGAUGACGACUACACCAUCAAAACAACGUGUGACAUGUGACGUUUGCUUGAAGACGUUUAAAGAUAAUGGGACAUUAAAUCGGCACAAGAAAAUUCACAGCGAUGAAAAGCCAUUUCAGUGUCAGAUUUGUUACCGGCGUUUUAUACGUAAAGAUUAUCUUGCUAGUCACAUGGUUACACAUGCCAAGUUUUGAUUGGAUAUCAUGGAAUAAGAUUCAUUGUGAUAAACUAUCUUUCCUAGAAAUGUUUGAUUAAUUUUUUUUUAACUUGAUUAUAUGAUUUGGAAUUAUGGAUUUACUAUUAAACUUCUGUGAGGGAUAGAGAAAAUGUACGUUAGAUGAAUGUAUUUAUCAGAAGGUGCUCAGAAAAGUUUUUGAAAAAUACCUUAAUUUUGUAUAUAAUCAGUAUAUAUAAUACUUUUUAUGAAUGAAUAAUACAUGUAUAAUUAUGUCAUGUAUUGUUAUACUUUUAAUGGCAAAUUUGCUUUUAAAUAUUUAAACUAUUCAUAUAAACAGACGCAUAGAUUAUGUUAUGGAAAAUAAA